AAAGCAAAUCGUUCUAUCGCCUUUCGUUUUAUACGAGGGGAGGAAAGUCCGGACAGCAUAGAGCAUCCAACCUAGGGAAACCUAGGGUAUUUGUAUGUAAUGUGCAAAUAACAGAAAGUGCCACAGAAAACAAACUACCUCGAAUUCGUUCGGGGAAAAGGUGAAAAGGCGAGGUAAGAGCUCACCGUUAGUGCAGCAAUGUACUAUGCAUGGAAAACCUUUGGAGCUGAAAAAUCAAAUAAACCAAGGCUAUAGGGCUGCUCGUCCAAUCUUGGAGGGUAGAUUGAACGAGGGUAGGUGCAAACCUGCUCCCAGAUAAAUGAUAGAAACCGCUUGCGGAUACAGAAACCGGCUUAUAGAUUUGCUUUUUUU
Molecule: RNase P RNA, 372 nt
Filed under: Flavobacteriales bacterium
Lineage: Bacteria; Pseudomonadati; Bacteroidota; Flavobacteriia; Flavobacteriales
Description: RNase P RNA component class A
Rfam family: Bacterial RNase P class A
About the family: Ribonuclease P (RNase P) is a ubiquitous endoribonuclease, found in archaea, bacteria and eukarya as well as chloroplasts and mitochondria. Its best characterised activity is the generation of mature 5'-ends of tRNAs by cleaving the 5'-leader elements of precursor-tRNAs.
Source: RNAcentral